AGCUGGUCUGAGUGCAGUGGUGUUUACAACUAAUCACAACCAGUUACAAAUUCCUUUGUUCCUUCUUCACUCCCACUGCUUUCACUUGACUAGCCUUAA
RNAcentral lists this Y RNA (99 nucleotides) under Prolemur simus (greater bamboo lemur). Its description in RNAcentral is "Y RNA (ENSPSMG00000003424.1)". It matches the Rfam family "Y RNA". From Rfam's summary of the family: Y RNAs are components of the Ro ribonucleoprotein particle (Ro RNP), in association with Ro60 and La proteins. The Y RNAs and Ro60 and La proteins are well conserved, but the function of the Ro RNP is not known. Lineage: Eukaryota; Metazoa; Chordata; Mammalia; Primates; Lemuridae. The record is from Rfam by way of RNAcentral.